GGACGGUUAGCUCAGUUGGUUUUAGAGCGCUUCGUUUACACCGAAGAGGUCGCAGGUUCGAAUCCUGCACCGUCCACCA
RNAcentral lists this transfer RNA (79 nucleotides) under Candidatus Nanoarchaeia archaeon. RNAcentral's name for it is "tRNA-Val". It matches the Rfam family "tRNA". From Rfam's summary of the family: Transfer RNA (tRNA) molecules are approximately 80 nucleotides in length. Their secondary structure includes four short double-helical elements and three loops (D, anti-codon, and T loops). The record is from RNAcentral. Lineage: Archaea; Nanobdellati; Nanobdellota; Candidatus Nanoarchaeia. RNAcentral also lists the same sequence under 2 other names.